UAUAUGAUGUAAAGAAAUGUUACAUCGUGAUCUAUAUGAUGUUUAUCCAUAGAGAUAUAAGAAUAGAGUACGUGAGCCACAGGAGCGCACAUAAGUGAAAACCAGCACGUGAUAGAAAGAGAGAGAGCAACUAGGGUGUCUGGUUGUCUUUGUCUAAUCACGCAUGUCUGGCGUGCCGAAGGUUGUUGACACAAACAUAACCUGCUUCGUACUCUAUUUGAACAUGAUUAUACCAAAAAAGAAGAGCUCCAAGACCACAGAAAAAAAUUGCGAGACAUGCAGGACUGGCGAUGAAUUGGUCUGCGAGUAUUUUCUUGACUAAGGAAACUGCAUCUUUUUUGGGAAUCGUUCGUUCUAAUAUUGCAUAAAAGUAGUGAUGAAAUGGACCCUGUAUACUGCCGACUAUAAUCAUAUUUUUUGUUCGUAUAUAAUCGUGGACAUAUUUUUUAUCAUUAUCGUCAAUAUUAGGUAGAGUUAUUGAGUUUAUUUCAUUAUCUAUUUUAGUUUCUGAAUCGAGCUUUAACAAUUUUCCGCUCUGCAAGGAAACACUCUCGUUUCUGCUGCAUUGUUUCCAAUGCUCAUGUCCCUGCUGGAAAAGAUCACCGAAUCCCAUCAUUAAGCCGCAACUCACAGUAUUUGUCACUAACAGGUACUUUCCUAAAGAACAAAGUUUGUCAUAUCAGCAGAUUUCGAUUUCUUAAGAGAAAUAGAAAUAUUGAUUGAGCCAAGUCCAACUAUUACUCAAAUAUACAUUCGAACGUGUCGUGUUAAAUUUCUGUUUAUAGUCAAAUAGAUUCACCCUCAUUGUCAAUUAUAAUCUUUGAAACUUUUUCCUUCAUAUGAUUGAAAUUUCUAAGAAUAUAUCAAUCCUAAUUUUACUUUUUAGAAUACCAUUACACAUUCGGUUAUUGUAACUAAAUCCUUGUGGCCUUGACUCAGAUUUGGACGAGUUGUUGAUUGCCAAAAAAAAAAAGAUUCAAGGCUACUGUUUGUAUUAGGUAACAAACUAACAGACAACUGCUAACAAUACAACUCAUUAUACUUACCAAACAACUUUCCAAGUAUACCCAUUUACCUAGCUGUCCAGUGAAAUAUUGAAUAAUUGGUAAAUCUUUCAAUACUAUCUGAUGGACUGCAUAAUUUUUUAUUUGUAAAGGGAUGGGGUAGCUGAUGUCAGUGGGAAUGGAUUAAAAUUUUGUUGGAUUAGCUGAAUAUACAAGGGUAGAAAUAAGUGUAACAAGGAUUAUUCUUAUUUUAUAAGCCUGUGUUAUCUGAUAUGAUUCUUAAUUUUUUGGUGCUUGCGUAGAGAGAAAAUUAGUUGAAUUCGGUGUGGCAUAACGUUUUGAAAUUGAUCAAUUUAGGUUAUUGAAUUUUUACGUUAUAUGAUUAUGUAAUACACAGGAUAACUCAUAUGUUCCA
This 1419-nucleotide long non-coding RNA is filed under the name Neodiprion pinetum (white pine sawfly). RNAcentral describes it as "uncharacterized LOC124217692, transcript variant X2". Lineage: Eukaryota; Metazoa; Arthropoda; Insecta; Hymenoptera; Diprionidae. The record is from RNAcentral.